Molecule: transfer RNA, 93 nt
Organism: Termitomyces sp. J132
Lineage: Eukaryota; Fungi; Basidiomycota; Agaricomycetes; Agaricales; Lyophyllaceae
Rfam family: tRNA
About the family: Transfer RNA (tRNA) molecules are approximately 80 nucleotides in length. Their secondary structure includes four short double-helical elements and three loops (D, anti-codon, and T loops).
Source: Rfam
UCCCCCUUAGCUCAGUGGUAGAGCGCGUCACUAGUAUCGCUAUGUGGUACAGUGCCCAUGACGAGGUCAGUCGUUCAAGUCGGCUAGGGGGAA